GGAGAGGUGUCCGAGUGGUCGAAGGAGCACGAUUGGAAAUCGUGUGUGCGUUAAUGACGUACCGAGGGUUCGAAUCCCUCUCUCUCCGCCA
Molecule: transfer RNA, 91 nt
Filed under: Pseudomonadota bacterium
Lineage: Bacteria; Pseudomonadati; Pseudomonadota
Also listed under: 3 other names
Description: Proteobacteria bacterium (cold seep metagenome) tRNA-Ser
Rfam family: tRNA
About the family: Transfer RNA (tRNA) molecules are approximately 80 nucleotides in length. Their secondary structure includes four short double-helical elements and three loops (D, anti-codon, and T loops). Further hydrogen bonds mediate the characteristic L-shaped molecular structure. tRNAs have two regions of fundamental functional importance: the anti-codon, which is responsible for specific mRNA codon recognition, and the 3' end, to which the tRNAs corresponding amino acid is attached (by aminoacyl-tRNA synthetases). tRNAs cope with the degeneracy of the genetic code in two manners: having more than one tRNA (with a specific anti-codon) for a particular amino acid; and 'wobble' base-pairing, i.e. permitting non-standard base-pairing at the 3rd anti-codon position.
Source: RNAcentral